UGGAGGGGAGCCCAGAUGAGGAGGAUGAGGAGUGGAGUUUACCUGGGUUUUCAGUUUUGCCAACUGUGAAGGUCAGUGUUGAGGGUACAAUCCCUACCCAGCCCAUGAACAGAGUUCCUGUUCCUGAGACAGAAAGAAAGAAUCCCUCACUUGAUGUGGAUAAGUCGUCUCUACUGGCGGAUGCUGUGGAUCCAUAUCCAGCCCUGGAAAAAGUUCCUUCAGAAGAAGAUCAAAUAGACCCAGGAAUUUCACCUGAGCCUGAACAUGUUCCUGAGCUGAGCCCAUCUGAAGAUUUGGAAUCCCAUGGCCUGGUAGAGACAUUACCAACCUUGACCAUAUCCUCACCACAUUCCACUGAAGCACCUAUACCUGCUUCACAGGCUAGUGAUAGUAUAGAAACUGAACAGCCGAUUCGUCGGUCUAGUCGACAGCCACAGCCAAUUAAGCGUCUUCAGUAUGCUGCUUUAGGCAACCCAUUAAUCUCUGUAGUGCAAACUCUUUUGCAUAGCUUAGCUACUGCUUAUAGUGAAAUGUGGGUGGAGCCUGUCCCGGAUGCUCCUGUAUGUUCUAGUGUCCAGAUAAUUUAGCAUGCACCGGCGUUGCAUGUAUUUAAGGGGGGAGGGUGUAACCCAGGUCUAAAUCUCAGUGAUCAAGCCUGUGUAAAAUAGAACUUCCAUCCCCUCACUACUUCAUAGCCAAUCACUGUCAAGUAUCAUGGUCACAUGUACUUCCACAGCCUAUCAGCUAGGUAUAUUAGCUGGAGUAAGGAAGUAGGAAGGUUAGGACAUGUUGGGAGAAGCAGAGCUGCAGGAGCUAACUACUUUGCCAGGAUGAGAUGGGGAGAAAAACCUGUUGUGUGAGGCAUAAACUGUGGAAUUGGCCAGGUUUGAUGGCGAGCUGAAGAUCCAGGCCUAGAGCCCAAGAAAGAUUUGCACUUUGGCGUGCGUGCGUGAAGACUUGUUGAUCUCCUGCCAGGCUGGUAGGAGGCUCCUUGCAGCCAACGAACAAUUCUGUUCUACCCUGAUCUGACUUGCGUCAGUUAGGACCUGCACUGCACCAAGCACUUUAAAAGAACUUGCUUGGGACCUUUAACCAACCCCAGCUUGGGGUGAAUGAACUGAAGGGUGUGGGUUCAUUAAUUGUAGAAUUGAUUAAUGUUUUUUUCUGUUUAUUUAGUUUUUUUCUUUUGCGCAUUUUAUAUGGCCAUUUGAAUGUUUCACUGUUGUAAAUAUGUAUAUAACUUUCUACACUAUAAAUACAAAGGCACUCGCAACUGCAACCUUCCAGUCUGUCUGCUCCUUCAUGAGUCGAAUCUAGUUUCUGA
This is a long non-coding RNA of Fundulus heteroclitus (mummichog), 1324 nucleotides long. RefSeq lists it as uncharacterized. NCBI's taxonomy places the organism in Eukaryota, Metazoa, Chordata, Actinopteri, Cyprinodontiformes, Fundulidae. The transcript has 3 exons. The record is from RefSeq and is a predicted model, not a curated record.